GAAAUAAUGUACUAGUCCUAGUGCCACCAAGGAGAAAUGCCUCUGGGCUAAAGCAAAUCCCUGAGCGUGUCUCCCUUGUAGUAACACUAAACUUCAAGCUAACGAUCUACAAGUGAAUCCUUGGUCCAGUCUCAUCAUCUCUUUCUUCGUGGUUCAAAAUCUGCAUUUGAAGUUACGAACGGCUUAAUUGUAAAGACAGUCCAGAGGUACCCACAUGGUGUUGUACAAUCCGCCGCUCACCUCGCCUGCCGCCUCCGUUUGUCUACAUCAAUGUGGCAUUUAAGUCAUUGGAAAUUACCCCAGCUGUCCGUCUGCGUCACUGUGGCAUUUAAGUAGUACUGCCACAUAAACAGUAUAGGCAAAAUCAUCUCAUUCUUGCUACUCCCUCUCUGUUUUAAAAUGUAAGGCGUAUUCUUUUUGACAAGACCAGCAUUUGACCGAUAGUACUCUGGUAUGCAAUUCAGGGAAUUUAUGGAAAGUACUAACAGUAUUAUCAUCAUUUACCCUCUAUCACCGCCUUCCAUUUUUGCAUCAAAGUUCAUGCAAUUGUAUUUCGAUUUUCUUUGUUUCUCCCCAAUAAAAGAACAUUUGAUCUUGAAACUUCGCAGAUCAACAACACACAAGUACUACCAUGUGCAGAAAUAAUUUCGGAUGUUUUGGCGCAAUAUAAAAAAGGGCAGCCUGGUGAUGUACAAGGGUCUGACCAGUUCAGAUCCUUUGGCGCAAUAUAAAUGUUUAAAAAUGAUACAACUAAUUCAGAAUUUGAAAUUUGACAAACUUAUGCUUCAUCAAAAAAAUUGGAAACAUUUUAUUAUAAUGAGUGGCACUUGUGUAUAGUUGAACUGCAAAGUUUCAAGGUCAAAUGUUGUCUUGAUUGAAAGAAACAAAAAAGAGAAAUUUCUAGAUAAGGAUAGCACGAACCUUGACGCAAACUGAAAGGUUUAGAUACAGGGUAGAGUGGUAUUGUAGUACAACAAAUCCACCAAAAUUCAGAUUGUUUCUUAGGUGUUCAUGUAUGCUUAAGAGUACCCGUGGACGUGUGUGAACUGUUGAAAAUACAAAAUACAUUCAUCAAAGUAGUAAAAUAUUUCCUAUUUUUUGUCAAAAGUUGUUAGCAUGUACUGUAGCUGGUUUGGUUGAGUCGUAGGUGAUAGGCAGCAGUCCUGGAGUGUGGAUUGAGUGAGCCGGUCAGCACAAAAGUGGUUGGUUUGGUUGGGUCAUGUGUGCAGGAUCGUGUGAGUAGCCAGCCAACUAGCCAAGUGAUUUGGUUGGGUCAUAUAUAUAGUCGUGGAGUGAUCCCAGGAGUUGUGUGAGAGGCGUGAGCUUAGUUCAGACUUGAGAGGCUAACAGAAGCCUAUACAUGUAAUCAGGCUUGCUAGUAAGAGGUAGCGAGAGAAGGUAGUGAGCCAGGAAACAGUGUAGCUAGUCUAUAGUGUAAGAGAUGUGAGGUGUAGUCCCAGCAGAUAGUUGGAGAGAGGUCUGUGGGAUUUUUGAGCGGAUAGAGAGGUCUGUGGGAUAGUGGAGGAAAACAAAGAGUUGUGGGAUAAUGCAUACAUACCAACAUGAUGCCGUACAUGCUGACGGUGAGCUCACCUGCAGCGAGGCAACACUGCGCCUAAGCACGCCGCUCUUCACGAUGCCUCGACGUAGCACCUUGGCCAGGAUAGCUUGAAUAUCUCCAGCGAGGAAGGGACUCAAAUGCUGACCUUUGGAAAAUACAUCUGUUCUUGUUCUGCUUCAAUCACGGUGGCGUUGUCCGAGUAGUACUGCCUCAUAAACAGAAUACAUUGUAUUGGACUUCACUCUAUGAACGCAUAAGCUUAGAGAACAUAAUUUAGGUAGCCAUGGUGUUUUGGUGGAACCACCUCUUCU
Molecule: non-coding RNA, 1872 nt
Organism: Triticum urartu
Lineage: Eukaryota; Viridiplantae; Streptophyta; Magnoliopsida; Poales; Poaceae
Source: RefSeq, a predicted model, not a curated record